AUGGGAAGGAGGUCGUCCUUCUUCUGCGCCAUAUUCAGCUUCUCGCGGAGGUCGAGGCGGUACGCCUACGUCGACGACGAGGACAGCGACUGGGAGCAGCCGCCGGCGCCGGGGCUGCGCAAGGUCAGGUCCAGCGACGAGGACUCCGGGUGGUGGGUCGGCGAGCGCGACGUCGACCAGAAGGCCGCCGACUUCAUCGCCGGCUUCCGCCAGAGGAGCCUCGUCGCCUGA
RNAcentral lists this ribosomal RNA (231 nucleotides) under Triticum aestivum (bread wheat). RNAcentral describes it as "partial small subunit ribosomal RNA". The record is from RNAcentral. Lineage: Eukaryota; Viridiplantae; Streptophyta; Magnoliopsida; Poales; Poaceae.